Molecule: long non-coding RNA, 262 nt
Organism: Ananas comosus (pineapple)
Lineage: Eukaryota; Viridiplantae; Streptophyta; Magnoliopsida; Poales; Bromeliaceae
Exons: 3
Source: RefSeq, a predicted model, not a curated record
AACAAGAAGGAGCUUGCUAGGGCUUGGACAAAGGACACGAGUUCGACGUCCGUGUGGCGCACGAGACUCCACACCUUGCUUCUACUACCCCUCGAGAGCCGGGACCCAGCGAGCCGGCGGACGAUCGCGGUAAGAGCAUCGCGCUCUAGAUAGAGACCGCCCGAGUUGUUCAUUUACCUUAGUUGUAUACCCUUUAUUAUAUCAUCUUUUGUACCUCGAUGACGAACUUACUUUAAUGAAUGAUGUAAGGGAUAUUUACUUU